Molecule: ribosomal RNA, 406 nt
Filed under: Bacillota bacterium
Lineage: Bacteria; Bacillati; Bacillota
Description: Firmicutes bacterium partial 16S ribosomal RNA
Rfam family: Bacterial small subunit ribosomal RNA
Source: RNAcentral
CAAGGAAUUUUCCGCAAUGGGCGAAAGCCUGACGGAGCAACGCCGCGUGCAGGAUGACGCCUUUCGGUGUGUAAACUGCUUUUCGGGGGGACGAAGCACUUACGGUACCCCCGGAGGAAGGCCCGGCUAACUACGUGCCAGCAGCCGCGGUAAUACGUAGGGGCCAAGCGUUGUCCGGAGUUACUGGGCGUAAAGCGUGCGCAGGCGGCUCGUUUCGCCCGACGUGAAAGCCCCCGGCUCAACCGAGGAGGGUCGUCGGGGACGGGCGAGCUUGAGGGUGUCAGGGGCUGGUGGAACUCCCGGUGUAGUGGUGAAAUGCGUAGAGAUCGGGAAGAACACCCGUGGCGAAGGCGGCCAGCUGGGACACAACUGACGCUGAGGCACGAAGGCGUGGGGAGCGAACGGG